Molecule: ribosomal RNA, 2981 nt
Filed under: Nicotiana sylvestris (wood tobacco)
Lineage: Eukaryota; Viridiplantae; Streptophyta; Magnoliopsida; Solanales; Solanaceae
Also listed under: 1 other name
Description: eukaryotic LSU rRNA
Rfam family: Eukaryotic large subunit ribosomal RNA
Source: RNAcentral
CCAAAUACCAACCAGUACGAAGACAUACCAAUCAGAGUCUUGUAAGCAGUCCUAUAAGCCCAUAAGGCAUCAUCCAGUUUCUUUGACCAGUCAGUCCUAUUUGUAUUGACAGUCUUUGACAAUAUGCUCUUAAUCUCCCGGUUGGAGACCUCAACUUGCCCACUAGCCCGAGGAUGGUAAGGGGUUGAAACCUUGUGACUGACACCAUACUUUGCAAGCAAAGUGUUAAAUGACUUAUUGUAGAAAUGAGAACCCCCAUCACUGAUGAUUGCUCUAGGAGUGCCAAACCGAGUAAAGAUAUUCUUCUUGAGAAAAGCCACCACACUCUGUGCCUUGUUGUUGGGUAAAGCCACGGUCUCAACCCAUUUGGAAACAUAAUCAAUGACCACCAGAAUGUAUGUGUUUCCACAUGAACUCACAAAAGGUCCUAUGAAGUCAAUGCCCCACACGUCAAAUAUGUGAACCUCAAGAAUAGUUGUGAGAUGCAUUUCAUCCUUCUUUGAAAUUCCACCUGCUCUCUGACACUCGGGACGCGAAAGAUGGUGAUCUAUGCCUGAGUGGCAUGAAGCCAGAGGAAAAUUUGGUGGAGGCCCGCAAUGAUACUGAUGUGCAAAUCAUUCGUCUGACUUGGGUAUAGGGGCAAAAGACUAAUCGAACCGUCUAGUAGUUGGUUCCCUCUGAAAUUUCCCUCAGGAUAACUGGAGUUUGAGUGUGGGUUAUAUCGGGUAAGGCCAACGAUUAGAGGCUUCGGGGUCACAACUCCCUUGAUGUAUUCUCAAUCUUUAAAUAGGUAGGACGACGCGACUUCUUUAUUGAUCCAUGCCAUGAAAUCAAGAGCUCCAAGUGGGCCAUUUUUGGUAAGAAGAACUGGCGAUGCGGGAUGAACCGGAAGCCGGGUUACAAUGCCAAACUGCGCACUAACCUAGAUCCCACAAAGGGUGUUGGUCGAUUAAGACAGCAUAACGGUGGUCAUAGAAGUCAAAAUCCACUAAGGAGUGUGUAACAACUCACCUACCGAAUCAACUAGCCCCGAAAAUGGAUGGCUCUUAAGUGCGUGACCUACAUCCGGCCGUCGGGGCAAGUUCAUGGCCCCGAUGAGUAGGAGGGCGUGGCGGUAGCUGCAAAACCUUGAGCGUGAGCCUGGGCGGAGCGAUCGUCGGUGCAGAUCUUGGUGGUAGUAGAAAAUAUUCAAAUGAGAACUUUAAAGGCCAAAGAGAGGAAAUCUUCCAUGUGAACGACACUUGCUCAUGGGUUAGUCGAUCCUAAGGGUCGGGGGAACCCUAAGAAAUAGCGCGUUUCGCGCGUAAUCCGAAAGGGAAUCGGGUUAAAAUUCUUGAACCGAGAUGUGGCGGUUGACAGCAAUGUUAGGAAGUCCAGAGAUGUCGGCGGUGGCCUCAGAAAGAGUUAUCUUUUUGUUUAAUAGCAUGCCCACCCUGGAAACGAAUCAGUCGGAGUCAAGGUCCAGCAGCUUAAAGAGCACCGCACGUCGCGUGGUGUCCGGUGCGCCCCAGCAGCCCUUGAAUAUCUGGAGAACCGAGUUCCGUCCAUGCCCGGUCGUACUCAUAAUCACAUUAGGUCUCCAAGGUGAACAACCUUUGGUUGAUGGAACAAUGUAAGCAAGGUUAGUCGGCAAAUGGAUCUGUAACUUCGGGAAAAGGAUUAGCUCUGAGGGCUGGGAAUGAGGGUCCUAGUCUCAAACCCAUUGGUUGUCGGUGGAAUACGCACGCUGCUCCCAUGGCGAGAGCGGGUCGCCGCGUGCCAACCGGGGGAAAAACUGGGAACGGUUCCUUUGGGGGCCUUCCCCAGGCGUCGAACAACCAAUUCAGAACUGGUAAGGACAAGAAGAAUCUGACUGUUUAAUUAAAACAAAGCAUUGCGAUGGUCCCUGCAGAUGUUUACGUAAUGUGAUUUCUGCCUAGUACUCUGAAUGUCAAAGUGAAGAAAUUUAACCAAGCGCGGGUAAAUGGCGGGAGCAACUAUGACUCUCUUAAGGUAUCCAAAUGCCUUGUCAUCUAAUUAGUGACACACAUGAAUAGAUUAAUAAGAUUCUCACUAUCCCUGUCUACUAUCCAGCAUAACUACAGCCAAGGGAACGUGCUUGGUAGAAUCAGCGGGGAAAGAAGACCCUGUUGAGAUUGACUGUAAUCCGACUUUAUGAAAUGACUUGAGAGGUGUAGUAUAAGUGGGAGCCGAAAGACGAAAGUGAAAAACCAGUAUACCACUACUUCUAACGUUAUUUUACUUAUUAUGUGAAUCAGAAGUGGAGCACUGCCCCUCUUUUUGGACCCAAGGUUUACUUGCAGGCCGAUCUGGGUGGAAGACAUUGUUAGGUGGGGAGUUUGGUUGGGGCAGCACAUCUGUUAAAACAUAAUGCAGGUGUCCUAAGAUGAGCUCAACGGGAAUAGAAAUCUCGUGUGGAACAGAAGGGUAAAAACUCGUUUGAUUCUAAUUUUCAAUAUGAAUACGAACCAUGAAAACGUGGCCUAACGAUCCUUUAGACCUUCGGAAUUCGAAGCUAGAGGUGUCAGAAAAGUUAACAUAGGGAUAACUGGCUUAUGACAGCCAAGCGUUCAUAGCGACGUUGCUUUUUGAUCCUUCGAUUUCGGCUCUUCCUAUCAUUGUGAAGCAGAAUUCAUCAAGUAUUCGAUUGUUUACCCACCAAUAGGGAACGUGAGCUGGGUUUAGACCGUCAUGAGAUAGGUUAGUUUUACCCUACUGAUGACAGUGUCGCAAUAGUAAUUCAACCUAGUACGAGAGGAACUGUUGAUUUGCACAAUUGGUCAUCGCGCUUGGUUGAAAAGCUAGUGGUGCAAAGCUACCAUGCGCUAGAUUAUGACUGAACGCCUCUAAGUCAGAAUCCGGUCUAGAAGCGAUGCAUGCGCCCACCGUCCACUUACAGACACGCAGUAGGGGCCUUUGGCCCCCAAGGGAAAGUGUCGUUGGUUAAGUCAUCGCGGUGGAAUAGCCGCGGUGGCCGCCUU